GCGCCUGUAGCUCAGUGGAUAGAGCACUGGUCUUCGAAACCAGGUGUCGUGGGUUCGAAUCCCCCCGGGCGCGCCA
Molecule: transfer RNA, 76 nt
Filed under: Dehalococcoidales bacterium
Lineage: Bacteria; Bacillati; Chloroflexota; Dehalococcoidia; Dehalococcoidales
Description: tRNA-Arg
Rfam family: tRNA
About the family: Transfer RNA (tRNA) molecules are approximately 80 nucleotides in length. Their secondary structure includes four short double-helical elements and three loops (D, anti-codon, and T loops).
Source: RNAcentral